GUUGUAGCUCAGUGGUAGAGCACUUGCCUAGCAUGUGUGAGGCACUGGGUUCAAUCCUCAGCAUCACA
RNAcentral lists this transfer RNA (68 nucleotides) under Marmota monax (woodchuck). Its description in RNAcentral is "tRNA.Ala". The stretch from base 3 to 63 matches the Rfam family "tRNA", at positions 6 to 65 of the family's 71-position model. Rfam says of the family: Transfer RNA (tRNA) molecules are approximately 80 nucleotides in length. Lineage: Eukaryota; Metazoa; Chordata; Mammalia; Rodentia; Sciuridae. The record is from RNAcentral.